AGUGAACGCUGGCGGUAGGCCUAACACAUGCAAGUCGAACGGCAGCACAGUAAUAGCUUGCGCUUACGGGGGGGGAGUAGCGGAUGGGUGAUGAGAAUAUCGGAGUUUACGUUGUCGAGGGUGCGAACACAGGGAAACUUACGCUAAUAGCGCAGACGACGUACGGGUGAAAGCAUGGGAUCUUCGGACCUUGGGCGAUUGAAUGAGCCUAUGUCGGAUUAGCUAGUUGGCGGGGUAAAGGCCCACCAAGGCGACGAUCCGUAGCUGGUCUGAGAGGAUGAUCAGCCACACUGGAACUGAGACACGGUCCAGACUCCUACGGGAGGCAGCAGUGGGGAAUAUUGGACAAUGGGCGAAAGCCUGAUCCAGCCAUACCGCGUGGGUGAAGAAGGUCUUCGGGUUGUAAAGCCCUUUUGUUGGGAAAGAAAAGCAGCAGGUUAAUACCCCGCUGUUCUGACGGUACCCACAGAAUAAGCACCGGCUAACUUCGUG
Molecule: ribosomal RNA, 492 nt
Filed under: uncultured bacterium
Lineage: Bacteria
Description: partial 16S ribosomal RNA
Rfam family: Bacterial small subunit ribosomal RNA
Source: RNAcentral